This is a long non-coding RNA of Episyrphus balteatus (marmalade hoverfly), 1690 nucleotides long. RefSeq lists it as uncharacterized. The record is from RefSeq and is a predicted model, not a curated record. NCBI's taxonomy places the organism in Eukaryota, Metazoa, Arthropoda, Insecta, Diptera, Syrphidae. The transcript has 3 exons.
AUUUGCCGAAGCUCGACACGAAGAUGAUUUUUCAUUCCGAAUGUUGAAAUGGCUCAAAAAGGUUUUAAAGUAAUUUUUAACGUACCUACAUAUAUGUAGUUAGCCAAGUACGCUCCUGAAGCGAAACGAAUUUAUUUCCAAAUUUCUAUAGUCGACAACGAAAAUGCUUACGAAAAAAUAUCAUUGAGUAUUCUGUCAAAGUUAAAAAAAAAAAAAAAUUAAAUUAAAACAAAAACAAACAAAAGUAUCGAAAACCAAUUUUUCUUAUCAAUCAAAAAAAUGAAAAAUGUGCAACAAAAACUGUUUUCUGUUGAGAAAAGUGUUCGAGAAAUUGAAAUAAGUAUACAAGAUUUCUAAAAACUCUCCGAAUUAUCUAGUACAGUAAUUUACGGUUCUCCUUUAAAAUAACUUCCUUCUGAAGCUAAAAAGUGAUGGGUAGGCUUUUAUUCCUGUAACCGCGAUAUUUGAGAAGCCUUCUACUGGUUGCUUAUAGCCGUUUGAACGGUUUUGACCAUUCCAAAAUGAAUUCUCUUAAGGUUUUUUUUGUGAAGAAAGAUUCAAAAGAACCCAAGUCAGGUGAAUACAAAUACUGAGAAGCUCCAGCGGCAAACCGGAAAAAAAGAUAGAAAAAAAAAACAACUAUGCACACUGUCACUUUCUUCUAAACGAUAGACGAUUUGAAAGUAAAAACAUGGAAAGCGUUUCCGGUAACGUGCUUAUCCGUUCAACAUCCUUAACCGAAUGUUUUUCUGUUUCCAAAACAUUGUCGCUCUUGCUCUCGACGAGUUCUAAGGGUGUUAUUUUUCUCUUAGCUUGUAAAAAGCUAUUGAGAGAAGAGUGCUAUCCACAAAAUAUGAAGAGCACGAAUUUCGUCCUUGUUGUUCGGAAGAAUGAAAUACACAAACAAAAAAAAAAAGAGAGAAGGGUGCCGACUACUGCCGACUUUGGAACUAUGAAUAUAAACAACAAGAGCCUUGAAGAAAAAGGAAAACUAUGUACGGCGCGCUGUCAAGUUUCAUAACUCCCAAGGGGCUGGAUCUUUUGUGAAUGCACCUUAUAGGAAGAAUAUAUAAUACAUGCCAUGAAUAUAUUUCUGCUGAACACACCACAUAGGUAUAUGUAUAUCUUCUAUUGGAAUGAAAGGAACCUUUUACGCACAAGGGAUGUCCUUAUGUGUCAUCGAAUCCCAAAAGGGUGACAAAGUCGGUCGUCGUCAUAUACUCGUACCUAUAUGGGAAUAAAAAGCUUCUAGGCAUCUAUGUAUUUUGAAUAGUAGGGACUACUAGCAUGUAUAGGCAUGCUGAGUCAAUCUCUGUGGGGUGCAAUUGCCCACGGGAUAGGCAAAGUAAUUAUAAAGUCAGUCGGUGUUUUUUUUUUCGAGAUGAAUUAGGGUGAAUUUAUUUGUCGAUUUUUUCUGCAAUAACUCUCACCCAUGGGGGGUGAGUUAGUAUACUUUCAUGCAUUGGAAUACAAGAACGUGAGAAAACAUUUGUUGCGUCAAUAUUAUGUCAAGAGGGACAUGAUGGUUUUUUUCUUUUGUUAUGAUUUGACUGAUAAGAAAAAGAAAACAAAAAUUGAUGUUAAGAAUAUAUAUAAAGUCAAUGUGACAAUCACAAUGGAGGUCAACCUGUGGUAGGUUUAUUGUUUGUUUGAAAAAAAAUAUAUUCAAUCCUUUGGUAAAAACGGAAAG